Molecule: long non-coding RNA, 1236 nt
Filed under: Nicotiana tabacum (common tobacco)
Lineage: Eukaryota; Viridiplantae; Streptophyta; Magnoliopsida; Solanales; Solanaceae
Description: long non-coding RNA (NTAB_LNC018448)
Source: RNAcentral
UAAAAUCCACAAAAUUUGCCCCAUUUUCCCCAUUAUUUCCUCUCUUCUUUCCCUCUCAUCACUCUCUCUUCUCUCUCUCCCAAGACCGCCGCCGCCAGAAAUUGCCCACCGGCGGCGGCCGACCUCCAAUCCCAAAAUUUCACCAUAUAAUCUCCAACACCUCCUCUUUCCAUAUCUCCAAACUAAAUCCUUCAAAAAACCCUCAAACUCCUUGAAUCUUAGAUCUAGAAAACUUUCCCGUCAUUUUUUUGCCCAAAUUCUUGAAGCUCCAACCACUACCACCCUACAAUACCUACAUCAAUGGAUAGCGCUCCUCAAGACCUAGCUAUUGAUGUCAAUUCUACCCCAAAAAUCCGGUGACCAAAAUCCGGCGACCUCCCGGAAUACCCUCUUUGGCAUACCACCGUUUUUUCGGUCUUUUGAUGUGUAAAAUGGUAAAAUACUAUUCUUUUUCAUGGCUGAUUUUUUGUUUUUUGUUUUAAUUUUCAGAUUUUAUUUUUGUCUAUUAUUAAUUAUUUUAGCAUUAGUUUUUGAAGUUUGAAAUGUGAAAUUUCCUGUUUUUGCACUUGUUGAAGUAGUAAAAUAGUUUUGUAUUGAUAAAAGUGAGGUAGUGAAAAAUACUUAAGAGUAUAUGGUACUUGUUUGGUUGUUUGUUUACUGCUUCAAGACUCUUUGAGUACAACACUCAAAAGUCAAAUUGUUUGGUAAGAAAAUGUAGACCUUUGGACAUUGUUUGAAUAAAAGUCUAUCUUUGAAUAGUGGAGAGCAGAUUUUGUUUGAAAUACUUGACAAGAUUUGAACCAGAAAGUCUUGCUUUUUGAAUUUAAGAGCAGAUUUUGUAGAAAUAAUUGUCAAAAAUAUUGAUUUUUAUUUUUUUGAAAUAGUUGGUUGUUUUGAUAUAUAGGGGGGACUCCAUCACACUUCCAGGAGGCAUUUUAUAUAAUUGCUUUGUCACAAAAACAAAAAACAAAUUCAGCAGUUGAACACAUGAAAAGUAAGCUGAAAUGGUGAGCUUUGGGAGUGAAUCUUAGAGUGCAAACUUUUAGAAAAGUAUAAGUCCUCUUUAGAGUUCGUUUCUGGGUUCCCUCUCUAAGUUUUCGGGUUGUUUUAACACGGAUUUGCUGCUGUUUUUACGCUGUUUUAGUUGCUGAAUUACUGUUUAUUCUUUUGCUACCAGGUAAUCCUUUAAGACUCGUAAUGUACGUAUUUUCAGUAAUGGGAACAACUUGAANNNNN